AUUGAACGCUGGCGGCAGGCCUAACACAUGCAAGUCGAGCGAGCGGCGGACGGGCGAGUAAUGUAUGGGCAACUGCCCGAUGGAGGGGGAUAACUACUGGAAACGGUGGCUAAUACCGCAUACGAUCGGAUGAAGCCAGAUGGGAUUAGCUAGUAGGUGGGGUAACGGCUGACCUAGGCGACGAUCCCUAGCUGGGCUGCGAGGAUGAUCGGCCACACUGGGACUGAGAAACGGCCCAGACUCCUACGGGAGGCAGCAGGGGGGAAUAUUGGGCAAGUGGCGCAAGCCUGAUGCAGCCACGCCGCGGGAGUGAAGAAGGCCUUCGGGUGGUAAAGUACUGUCAGCGGGGAAGCGUUACCCACCGAGGAAGCACCGGCUAACUCCGUGCCAGCAGCCGCGGUAAUUC
This 406-nucleotide ribosomal RNA is filed under the name uncultured bacterium. RNAcentral describes it as "partial 16S ribosomal RNA". It matches the Rfam family "Bacterial small subunit ribosomal RNA", at positions 29 to 526 of the family's 1533-position model. The record is from RNAcentral.